Long non-coding RNA from Sebastes umbrosus (honeycomb rockfish), 972 nucleotides. RefSeq lists it as uncharacterized. NCBI's taxonomy places the organism in Eukaryota, Metazoa, Chordata, Actinopteri, Perciformes, Sebastidae. The transcript is spliced from 4 exons. The record is from RefSeq and is a predicted model, not a curated record.
ACCCUUGGUCGGUCAUUCAAUAGAUGGAGAGAAUUGCAUGAUUUGAAAGGAAUAAAAGCCGAUCCUGAAUUGGCCCUCUUCCUCCUAGACUGAUGAGAUCACAUGGCCUGGAGAGGAGGUUUUAAGCAUGGUGGAGGUAAACAUGGACCGAAUAAAGCCUCAGAAAUCCUGCAGCUGACUGCAGGUGACCGUCACCAUGGAGCUGUUAGAACACAGACUGUGACCUGUGGACUCUAACAUUAACAUGGAAACAUCAAGUGAGACAAUAGCAUCCUAUCUGCUUUACUAGACAGUAUUUCCACCAACAGUUGACUUCCCUCUUGUUUCAUACUCAAAUUUUGAUUCAGAAAUUGUCACACUGUUGGACUACAGUGUGAUCUGCCGGCCGCUGAGCUUCUCCACUGGAGCGGUCGGGGGUUAAAGGCCUUGCUCAAGGGCACCUCAGCAGCAACAAUCAAGGUGCUGUUCUUUCACUUUCCCCGGGCAGAUACUUCCUGCCGGCCGAGGGAUCAAACUGCCUAACCAGAGACAAGGUCUGCACAUUAGCUUUGGCUAGAAGUCCUAUACAUUGCAUCGGUUGCACUUUAUUCAAAUGUAACAAUGCCUCCGUAUUGUCCCUGUCAAAUAAAUAAUAAAUAAAAAAAAUAUAUAUAUUGCAGGACUUUUUUGAAAAAGACCAAACUAAAUAAUCCAGAGUGUUAUUGUGGGUGUAUUGAUAAAUCAAACACAAAAAUGAACAUAUAUAUGUAAUGUGCAUGACCCCGAUAACACUUUCUUGUGAGUUUUUCCUUUCAUAUCAGAGGGCCUGUGCUUGUUGUAGCUCGAUAACCUUCCUUGUUCCUGAUAAAAACUGCACUUAGUUUUUAAUUACAGCACACAUUGACGCCAGAAAACAAAUAGUUCAUCUGCCAGGUGUUCAUUUUCAUUGUUUUUUGUUUCAUUUAAUGGGAUAAAAGUCUGAUUUUGACACUU